CCUACGGGGGGCAGCAGUGAGGAAUAUUGGUCAAUGGGCGAGAGCCUGAACCAGCCAAGUCGCGUGAAGGAAGACGGCCCUACGGGUUGUAAACUUCUUUUGUCAGGGAGCAAUUGCGUCUACGCGUGGGCGUAGCGAGAGUACCUGAAGAAAAAGCAUCGGCUAACUCCGUGCCAGCAGCCGCGGUAAUACGGAGGAUGCGAGCGUUAUCCGGAUUUAUUGGGUUUAAAGGGUGCGUAGGCGGAAUAUCAAGUCAGCGGUAAAAAUGCGGGGCUCAACCCCGCUGUGCCGUUGAAACUGGUGUUCUGGAGUGGGCGAGAAGUAUGCGGAAUGCGUGGUGUAGCGGUGAAAUGCAUAGAUAUCACGCAGAACUCCGAUUGCGAAGGCAGCAUACCGGCGCACAACUGACGCUGAAGCACGAAAGCGUGGGUAUCGAACAGGAUUAGAUACCCUUGUAGUC
This 460-nucleotide ribosomal RNA is filed under the name uncultured bacterium. RNAcentral's name for it is "partial 16S ribosomal RNA". It matches the Rfam family "Bacterial small subunit ribosomal RNA", at positions 338 to 795 of the family's 1533-position model. The record is from RNAcentral.